UACAGAGGUCUCAAGCGUUGUUCGGAUUCAUUGGGCGUAAAGGGUGUGUAGGUGGCGCGCUAAGUCGGGUGUGAAAUUUCGGAGCCUAACUCCGAAACUGCAUUCGAUACUGGCGUGCUUGAGGACUGGAGAGGAGACUGGAAUUCAUGGUGUAGCAGUGAAAUGCGUAGAGAUCAUGAGGAAGACCAGUGGCGAAGGCGGGUCUCUGGACAGUUCCUGACACUGAGACACGAAGGCCAGGGGAGCAAACGGG
This 253-nucleotide ribosomal RNA is filed under the name uncultured bacterium. RNAcentral describes it as "partial 16S ribosomal RNA". It matches the Rfam family "Bacterial small subunit ribosomal RNA", at positions 524 to 776 of the family's 1533-position model. The record is from RNAcentral.